GUCGAGUUUUUCUAAUUGCAAAGGAAAGUUGACUUCGAGUGGCGGGUUCUUUGAGGCUUGGCGGUCUUUUGUUAACACUGUCAUUUUUUUUGUUCGUGUUAUACUGUUCUAUUAGAUCGGCGAUCUCUUCUUCAUGCACUGCAAAGUACAAAGCUCGAAGAAGGGCGUCGUCGAGCGAGGUGGGAGCUUGUACUGCCAUUUAUUCUUUGAAUUUGGAUGAGAACGAAACACGUUCUUUAAUUCUGCGAGAGAGACUCCCUCAUGCAUAUGCAAGAUCCUGACUUUGAUGUCUAUGAAUUUGUUGAUGUACAGCCAGAGGCUCAAAUGGCACUUUUCUGGGAUUCCAGAAGUCGUCCUCGGUUGCUCUUGUUUUUAUGAAAACUGAGUAUUAUUUUAGGAAGGUUGACACAAGUUGGGUGAAAU
This 423-nucleotide long non-coding RNA is filed under the name Brassica napus (rape). Its description in RNAcentral is "long non-coding RNA (BNAP_LNC011718)". The record is from RNAcentral. Lineage: Eukaryota; Viridiplantae; Streptophyta; Magnoliopsida; Brassicales; Brassicaceae.